ACUAUAUAAAUAUAGACCGCAAUUACAAUUAUCAGUUCCUAUCGGAUCAGAUUUUAAAUGUUAUAUGAAUAAUCACAUUGGAGAGUGUUGAACGAACUACUGCAGCCUGAGAAGAGAUUACAUAGAAUACAGAGGACCUUACAUUUUGGUGGUGCAGUUUGCUGCGGUUCUUCAUCUGAUUUGUGUUCUGGUUCCAUUUAAUUUGCGAAAAGUCUUUUAAGAUGAUUUUUGAUGUAAAGUUGAUCUUCAUAAUUACUGCCUAUGUUGUAUUUGACACAACCUAUGCCGGUGUCUGUCCAGUAAUACCGCCAUUUGUGGGUGACCUGUGUGGUGACAUGCCGAAUACUCAAAAAGACCAAAGCGUAUUUCUCAAAAAUAGCCGAUUUGACAGAGAUGCAAGGUGCCAAUGCGACGUUAAAAUGGCUUCUCCUGGCCCAACUCCAGAAACAUUACGAAUAAUUUUGUUAUCUUCACGUGUUGAUGGAUCAUAUUGCCCUGGCAUGAACAUGAGUGUCGAGAGCCGCGGAAGGGUACUGAUGGCAAUAGACUGCUCCCAAGCAGUGCAUUUCAUUCCUAUAUCCAAUCCACAGCAAGGAUUUGAAAUUAAAAGUCGCAACCUCCAACAACCAGGAGCUGUUAAGUCAUCAAUAUGUUUAUCCGUAAGUGCUCAUGUAGCAUUAACUGUUCGUUGUUCCAGAAUACCAAUAUUAGCAGCAAAAGCCAACGUACCUACAACAGACUUAUUAACGUCUUUGGCUCCAAGUGGUGUUAUGAAUUUGAACGGCGUGUCCACACCACCUCCAGCACCUACCAAUUACUUUGCAGCAGUCAAACAACAUAAUGCAACAGGCACCCAGUCCCAAAGUAUCCUUGCAGCCAGUCAAGGAGCUCCAGCUACUGUCCAGCCAGAUUUGGGAACAACGCCACCUUCCCAAUAGGUCUAACGGUCCUCGAGUUUUAUCAUGUAAAGACGGCAAGACGGGAUUCUACUACAGUAUUUUAAAAACAUUUGUUUUCAAUGUGUACAUAUAUAUCAUUAUAUAUUCAUACAUUAUAUCUAAUGACUUCGAUUUCACAAUAAUAUUAAUUUGCAUUCCCAGAACUUUUUAAAA
Long non-coding RNA from Patella vulgata (common limpet), 1112 nucleotides. RefSeq lists it as uncharacterized. The transcript is spliced from 2 exons. NCBI's taxonomy places the organism in Eukaryota, Metazoa, Mollusca, Gastropoda, Patellidae. The record is from RefSeq and is a predicted model, not a curated record.